GAAGCUAUGGUGACAACUAAAACAUAAGGACUCAAUGUAACAAGUUAGAACGAUAUACCAGAACGUAUUAGAUGUCAAUCGAUGCAAUUGUGUUGUCAUCGGUCGCGGCAGGUGAUGUUCUGUCGAUCGAUGUCGACAGUGUUUCUUCGGUCGAUACUCAUGGCAAUCGUCUACUCGGAUCUUUUUUAUUUUUUUUCUUUUUAUGACCUGCAAUAAUUAAAAACUAACAUAAGUACUAAACUAAUAAAAACCAAUUAGAUAUUACCUAAUAGUGGGUUGCCUCCCACUCAGUGCUUUGUUAUAGUCAUUUAGCUUGACUAUGGAGGUGAUUUGGCUACUAAUGUGGAAAUCUAGGACUUGCUGGGACGUAAGUUUUCAUCUCCUCUAUGCGCUUGUUGAGCCAUGUACCAGUGAAGUCUCGCAUUGCUUCAUCUCCUCUGCGCCAUUUGUCCUUCAUUGUUACAGUUUCAUUCUCUAUCUUCAGCAGUCUUUC
This 493-nucleotide long non-coding RNA is filed under the name Brassica rapa (field mustard). Its description in RNAcentral is "long non-coding RNA (BRAP_LNC004346)". Lineage: Eukaryota; Viridiplantae; Streptophyta; Magnoliopsida; Brassicales; Brassicaceae. The record is from RNAcentral.